GAUGAAUGCUAGCGGCAGGCCUAAUACAUGCAAGUCGAACGAGAUUUAUGACUUCGGUUAUAAUGAAAGUGGCGCACGGGUGCGUAACGCGUAUGCAACCUACCCUUAACUGGGGGAUAGCCCGGAGAAAUUCGGAUUAAUACCCCAUAGUAUUACAGAUUGGCAUCAUGAAGUAAUUAAAGAUUUAUUGGUUAAGGAUGGGCAUGCGUGACAUUAGUUAGUUGGUAAGGUAAUGGCUUACCAAGACGAUGAUGUCUAGGGGUUCUGAGAGGAUGAUCCCCCACACUGGUACUGAGAUACGGACCAG
RNAcentral lists this ribosomal RNA (307 nucleotides) under uncultured bacterium. RNAcentral describes it as "bacterial SSU rRNA". It matches the Rfam family "Bacterial small subunit ribosomal RNA", at positions 28 to 334 of the family's 1533-position model. The record is from RNAcentral.